GGCGAACGGGUGAGUAACACGUAGGUAACCUGCCCUUAAGACGAGGAUAACCGUUGGAAACGAUGGCUAAGACUGGAUAGGAUGAUUGAAGGCAUCUUCGAUCAUUUAAAAGACCUAGCAAUAGGUAUGCUUAAGGAGGGGCCUGCGGCGCAUUAGUUAGUUGGUGAGGUGAUGGCUUACCAAGACGAUGAUGCGUAGCCGGACUGAGAGGUUGAACGGCCACAUUGGGACUGAGAAACGGCCCAAACUCCUACGGGAGGCAGCAGUAGGGAAUUUUCGGCAAUGGGGGAAACCCUGACCGAGCAACGCCGCGUGAAUGACGAAGUACUUCGGUAUGUAAAGUUCUUUUAUCAGGGAAGAAUGGCUAGCGGAAAAGCUAGAUUGACGGUACCUGAUGAAUAAGCCCCGGCUAACUAUGUGCCAGCAGCCGCGGUAAUACAUAGGGGGCAAGCGUUAUCCGGAAUUAUUGGGCGUAAAGGGUGCGUAGGUGGUUAAUUAAGUCUUUGGUAUAAGUGCAGUGCUUAACGCUGUGAUGCUAAAGAAACUGGUUGACUUGAGUGUGGUAGAGGCAAGUGGAAUUCCAUGUGUAGCGGUAAAAUGCGUAAAUAUAUGGAGGAA
RNAcentral lists this ribosomal RNA (618 nucleotides) under uncultured bacterium. RNAcentral describes it as "bacterial SSU rRNA". It matches the Rfam family "Bacterial small subunit ribosomal RNA", at positions 97 to 706 of the family's 1533-position model. The record is from RNAcentral.